CAAAGAAUAGUUUAAGUUAGAACCCUAGCUUUGGGAGUUAGAGGUGGA
Molecule: transfer RNA, 48 nt
Filed under: Macquaria ambigua (golden perch)
Lineage: Eukaryota; Metazoa; Chordata; Actinopteri; Centrarchiformes; Percichthyidae
Description: partial tRNA-Pro
Source: RNAcentral